UCCUGUGUUGGUUGCCUAAUGUGACGGAAAUUGACCCUGGAUGAAGUSCUAGUUCUUGCCUCUCACUAAUUCGUGGUGUUAGGUUGACAUGGAAGUACUGCCCGUUCUCCUUGAAUGCUUCGCCCUUUCGCGUUGCAAUCAUGGCCCAUGGGUUGCUACUCGUUCCCUCGGAUGCAGAACUUUUGAAGGGUUCACAGCAUGUUGCUGUUGCUUACCCACAAAGCGUUCAUGUCUCGAUGCAUACGACUGCUGUGCCCGCCUUGGUCCUGUCUUUAACUYGUUUGGACAGGUCUCAUGCGGUGCCGGCGUCGCGAAGGAAUGCUACCUGGUUGAUCCUGCCAGUAGUCAUAUGCUUGUCUCAA
Molecule: unclassified non-coding RNA, 362 nt
Filed under: Labatia resinosa
Lineage: Eukaryota; Viridiplantae; Streptophyta; Magnoliopsida; Ericales; Sapotaceae
Description: Pouteria resinosa partial contains external transcribed spacer and 18S ribosomal RNA
Source: RNAcentral